Molecule: ribosomal RNA, 506 nt
Filed under: uncultured bacterium
Lineage: Bacteria
Description: partial 16S ribosomal RNA
Rfam family: Bacterial small subunit ribosomal RNA
Source: RNAcentral
AGUGAACGCUGGCGGUAGGCCUAACACAUGCAAGUCGAACGGCAGCACAGAGGAGCUUGCUCCUUGGGUGGCGAGUGGCGGACGGGUGAGGAAUACAUCGGAAUCUACUCUGUCGUGGGGGAUAACGUAGGGAUACUUACGCUAAUACCGCAUACGACCUACGGGUGAAAGCAGGGGACCUUCGGGCCUUGCGCGAUUGAAUGAGCCGAUGUCGGAUUAGCUAGUUGGCGGGGUAAAGGCCCACCAAGGCGACGAUCCGUAGCUGGUCUGAGAGGAGGAUCAGCCACACUGGAACUGAGACACGGUCCAGACUCCUACGGGAGGCAGCAGUGGGGAAUAUUGGACAAUGGGCGCAAGCCUGAUCCAGCCAUACCGCGUGGGUGAAGAAGGCCUUCGGGUUGUAAAGCCCUUUUGUUGGGAAAGAAAUCCGGCUGGCUAAUACCCGGUUGGGAUGACGGUACCCAAAGAAUAAGCACCGGCUAACUUCGUGCCAGCCGCCGCAGUAA